GUGCUCGCUUCAGCAGCAUAUAUACUAAAAUUGGAAUGUAAGAGAGUAGCAUGGCCCCUGUGCAAGGAUGACACUCAAAUUCAUGAUGUGUUCCAUAUAAAA
RNAcentral lists this small nuclear RNA (102 nucleotides) under Castor canadensis (American beaver). Lineage: Eukaryota; Metazoa; Chordata; Mammalia; Rodentia; Castoridae. The record is from RNAcentral.